This 31-nucleotide non-coding RNA is filed under the name Homo sapiens (human). Lineage: Eukaryota; Metazoa; Chordata; Mammalia; Primates; Hominidae. The record is from RNAcentral.
UCGAGAUCACGAGGGGCACGACUUUGGUGGU